This 84-nucleotide transfer RNA is filed under the name Candidatus Auribacterota bacterium. RNAcentral's name for it is "tRNA-Leu". It matches the Rfam family "tRNA". From Rfam's summary of the family: Transfer RNA (tRNA) molecules are approximately 80 nucleotides in length. Their secondary structure includes four short double-helical elements and three loops (D, anti-codon, and T loops). RNAcentral also lists the same sequence under 1 other name. Lineage: Bacteria; Pseudomonadati; Candidatus Auribacterota. The record is from RNAcentral.
GCGGGCGUGGUGGAAUGGCAGACACGCUAGCCUUAGGAGCUAGUGGGGUAACCCGUGGGGGUUCAAGUCCCUCCGCCCGCACCA